RNAcentral lists this small RNA (127 nucleotides) under Marmota monax (woodchuck). Lineage: Eukaryota; Metazoa; Chordata; Mammalia; Rodentia; Sciuridae. The record is from RNAcentral.
GCUGGGUGCAGUGGCACACACCUGUAAUCCCAGCAGCUGAGGAAGCUGAGGCAGGAGGAUCACAAGUUCAAAGCCAGCCUCAGAAACUCAGCAAGGCCCUCAGCAAUUUAGCAAGACCCUGUCUCUA